Molecule: long non-coding RNA, 289 nt
Organism: Prinia subflava (tawny-flanked prinia)
Lineage: Eukaryota; Metazoa; Chordata; Aves; Passeriformes; Cisticolidae
Exons: 3
Source: RefSeq, a predicted model, not a curated record
CGCGAGACGGCAGCCGGGAGGGACAGAAUUGUCCGGAGCACCGGGACCGAGCCCGCCCGGGGCUCUGAGGGGGAGAGCGGGCGCUCCUGGACAGCCCAGCUGUGCUGCUGAGGGACACUGGAGCUGCACUGCAGGCAGCAGGGAAUGGACACCCAGUCUUCCCUAGGUUCCCACGGGGGCUCUUAUUGCUCAGAAGAAUCCAGAAUCUCUCCCCACGGGAUGGGCUGUGCCAGGAGGCAGAGGAGCCCCGCCUGUUCCCGAGUUAAGGUGCUUUCCUGGGUUCUUUGCC